UGUGCGUGUGUAUGCGUGUGUGUCUGUGUGUAUGUGAGAGAGAGAGGGAGUGUGUGUCUGUGUGUCUGUGUUAGUGUUCGUCCCCCAGUACCGCUUGACAACUUAGUGGUUCGGCAAACAUGAGGGAUAAAAUAAGUACCGGGCUUAACAAAACAAUAAGUACUGGGGACGGUUAUUUCGACUAAUAAAUUCUUCAAGGCGGUACCCCAGUAUUCUCGCAGUCUAGUGACUGAAAUAAAAGAUAAAAGAUAAAAGAUAAAAGAUAUACAUGUAUGUUAGUAAGUGCGUAUAUAUGUAUUACACAGUGACUUAUUUCCUUCAUGUCUUUCUACCAACUUCUCUACAUGCACACAUAUAUAUUAUGGAUAUGAUUUACAAUCCACAUAUGAAGAAAAGAUUGUCAUGCUAUUAAGUACGAGACACAACUGGAGUUGAAAGCGGGAGACAGUUUGUUGACAAACAGCAAAGAAACGAACCGAAUACAGAGUCACUGGACUGCGGCCAUGCUGGGGCACCGCCUUGAAGAAUUUUUAGUCGAAUGUAUCGACCCCAGAAUCUUUUUUUAGGUGAAUUUCAACCAGCAUAUAAAGUUAAGCCUAGAAAGUUUCUCCACACGCUAAAAAUGACAGCCAAGUGGCUGCGGUCAUGCUGGUGCACAUAUAAUUAUUCAAUUGAACACCACACAUCCAUUUCCAAGAGACCUGGAGGAAAUUAUCAUACAUUCAGGCGAAUAAGACAUACAAGUGCAAUGCGGUUGCCGGCAGUAACGAACUACAAGUGGUCAGAAAACUAAUCGAUCGAUGUAGACGUGAUUUCACGUUGUAUGUGGUAAAUAUAAUUCCUAAAGAUCUACUGACGGAGGCGUUAAAUAUUCUGAGGCAGAUAAAUAAUAAUUGUAUGCAAUCAUUGCCAGAUGGCUGCAUAAGGGCUUACUGAUAUGUUAUAUUUAGCGUUGGACAACACUAUUUAGAGCAAGGAUAUAUUAUUCAGCCACCAAAACGUGUUUGCUCACUUUAUUCCUGCCGACAGGGUUGAAAAUGUUAUUUGUUAAUCGAUAUUACGUGUUCCUUUUAAUCAAGCACUGAACAUAUUGAUUUUCAAAACUUACUGUUUUACUGCAAUGUCAAUAAAAAUUUA
Long non-coding RNA from Octopus bimaculoides (California two-spot octopus), 1137 nucleotides. RefSeq lists it as uncharacterized. NCBI's taxonomy places the organism in Eukaryota, Metazoa, Mollusca, Cephalopoda, Octopoda, Octopodidae. The record is from RefSeq and is a predicted model, not a curated record.